GUCAUCGUAGCUUAAACAACCAAAGCAUAACACUGAAAAUGUUACCAUGGACAGACUUGUCCCGCAUGACA
This is a non-coding RNA of Gavialis gangeticus (Gharial), 71 nucleotides long. The record is from the annotation of a RefSeq genome assembly. NCBI's taxonomy places the organism in Eukaryota, Metazoa, Chordata, Crocodylia, Gavialidae.